Non-coding RNA from Podarcis lilfordi (Lilford's wall lizard), 74 nucleotides. NCBI's taxonomy places the organism in Eukaryota, Metazoa, Chordata, Lepidosauria, Squamata, Lacertidae. The record is from the annotation of a GenBank genome assembly.
GCUGGGAUGGCUCAAGUUGGUAGAGCAUGAGACUCUUAAUCUCUGGGUCACAGGUUCAAGCCCCACGUUAUGCG